UACGUAGGAGGCGAGCGUUGUCCGGAGUUACUGGGCGUAAAGCGUGCGCAGGCGGUCUGUUAAGACCGAUGUGAAAUCCCCGGGCUUAACCUGGGAACUGCAUUGGUGACUGGCAGGCUUUGAGUGUGGCAGAGGGAGGUAGAAUUCCACGUGUAGCAGUGAAAUGCGUAGAGAUGUGGAGGAAUACCGAUGGCGAAGGCAGCCUCCUGGGCCAACACUGACGCUCAUGCACGAAAGCGUGGGGAGCAAACAGG
This 254-nucleotide ribosomal RNA is filed under the name uncultured bacterium. RNAcentral's name for it is "partial 16S ribosomal RNA". It matches the Rfam family "Bacterial small subunit ribosomal RNA", at positions 524 to 776 of the family's 1533-position model. The record is from RNAcentral.